Long non-coding RNA from Strigops habroptila (Kakapo), 809 nucleotides. RefSeq lists it as uncharacterized. The transcript is spliced from 3 exons. The record is from RefSeq and is a predicted model, not a curated record. Lineage: Eukaryota; Metazoa; Chordata; Aves; Psittaciformes; Psittacidae.
CUGCUGCAAAACCGGCUGAAAACGAGGGCAGAGCGCUAGGGCCCUUCUGCCUGUCUUCCCUGCUUUUCACAGGGAAACGCACAAGUAUUCUUCUUUCCCGUGCGUUUAAGUAAACCCUGAAGGUUUCCUUUCUGUGCCUACAAGUGUAAAUGAACAGGGCUUCUGCUCGCUACCAGGUUAGAUACGAGAAGGUCCUUUGAAAGAUGCACCCAAAUUUCACUGUAGAAUUUUUCCUGAAGAGGCCAAACAUCCGUGAGGGACAAGGUGUUUUCAUUUCUUCUCUGGAAACAUUAUUCAGUUUGACGGCUCAGUUCAAAUCUACAAUGUACAAAUCCAGCUGAAAAGAACCUGAGAAAAUGAGCAGAGACAGCCACACAAAGUGGGGGGGGGGGGGGACACACGACUGAAAACAGAAGAAAAAGAAAGAUAGGAUAAUUUUUUGACAAAGGGGUCUUCAGGAGCUAAUGCUGUUGUGGUUUGUUGUUGUUCUCCAAGCUUUGGUGUUGUUCGUUAUCCUUUAUUUUUGUUUUUUGACAGUGUGUCUUGGUCAGUAUCUGUGCCUUUUCCUCUCUAAACCAACAGCAGUCACAUAUUGCAAUGAACUCUCAAUAUGAGCUUGAAGGACACAUCAGGCCCCAACAACCCCCUUGCAAGGAAAGUAAUCAGUGGCACCCUGUAGCAUGAGCUACAGGACGUAACCUGGCUUACUCCCUUUUGUUUGGCCAUAUCUGCUUAAUUCUUUGCACUGCAGCAAUACUCUACCCUUGUCUUUCCUUCCCUGGCUCUCCAAUAAACAGCUCUGGCCUGAA